RNAcentral lists this ribosomal RNA (465 nucleotides) under uncultured Klebsiella sp. RNAcentral describes it as "bacterial SSU rRNA". It matches the Rfam family "Bacterial small subunit ribosomal RNA", at positions 338 to 795 of the family's 1533-position model. The record is from RNAcentral. Lineage: Bacteria; Pseudomonadati; Pseudomonadota; Gammaproteobacteria; Enterobacterales; Enterobacteriaceae.
CCUACGGGUGGCAGCAGUGGGGAAUAUUGCACAAUGGGCGCAAGCCUGAUGCAGCCAUGCCGCGUGUGUGAAGAAGGCCUUCGGGUUGUAAAGCACUUUCAGCGGGGAGGAAGGCGUUAAGGUUAAUAACCUUGGCGAUUGACGUUACCCGCAGAAGAAGCACCGGCUAACUCCGUGCCAGCAGCCGCGGUAAUACGGAGGGUGCAAGCGUUAAUCGGAAUUACUGGGCGUAAAGCGCACGCAGGCGGUCUGUCAAGUCGGAUGUGAAAUCCCCGGGCUCAACCUGGGAACUGCAUUCGAAACUGGCAGGCUAGAGUCUUGUAGAGGGGGGUAGAAUUCCAGGUGUAGCGGUGAAAUGCGUAGAGAUCUGGAGGAAUACCGGUGGCAAAGGCGGCCCCCUGGACAAAGACUGACGCUCAGGUGCGAAAGCGUGGGGAGCAAACAGGAUUAGAUACCCUAGUAGUC